AGGAGAGCCCUGGGUGGACGGGCAGUGGUGGGCGCCAGGCAGGGCCUCCCAGGGCAGGUGCCAGCUCCCACACAGGUACCCCCAUGCAGCAGCAUCCUGGAGUGGCCUAGUCCCCAGGAGAGAUGCAACUGCUGGAACCCUGGCUGAGUGCAGAGACAGGAUGCCAGCGUCUGACCCUCAGCGGGAAGCAGGAGGCCGCAGAGCAGGGGCGGCCUCCAGGAGCUCCUGGGGCUGCCACACGGCUGGCACAGACCCACGUGGCUUCCCUCUGGCUCUGCACAGCUCUCCGGCCCCGGACACCUGGGGCCAGGCUGCCUCCCUGGGUGUGCACCAGGACUCCGCCAGGGGAUGGAGAGCGAGGCCGUCUCAGGUCCCUGAGACACAGAGACAGCAAUACAAGGGACUUCCUGCCUCACUCCUCUUCAGGGCCAAGUCUGUGGCUCUCCUCCCUUGGCUCACCCUAACUUCCCGCUGCGCUUGCACCCUCCCACUUAGCCCUGCACCCCCCCUGGGCUGGGCUGCCAGCUGACUGUGCAGAGGGUGGACAUGCUGAGCCUGGCCCUGGACCCGGUCAGACUCGGGGCUGCAGGAGCCAGAGCUGUGCUCCCGCCAGGCUGCCCGAGGGAACCCAGGACCUGGGAAGCUGCAGAGAGGAGUGGGCGCCACAGACACGCACUGGCCAGGCAGCGCCCUU
RNAcentral lists this long non-coding RNA (694 nucleotides) under Marmota monax (woodchuck). The record is from RNAcentral. Lineage: Eukaryota; Metazoa; Chordata; Mammalia; Rodentia; Sciuridae.